This 429-nucleotide ribosomal RNA is filed under the name Gemmatimonadota bacterium. RNAcentral describes it as "Gemmatimonadetes bacterium partial 16S ribosomal RNA". It matches the Rfam family "Bacterial small subunit ribosomal RNA", at positions 355 to 776 of the family's 1533-position model. The record is from RNAcentral. Lineage: Bacteria; Pseudomonadati; Gemmatimonadota.
UAGGGAAUCUUCGGCAAUGGACGAAAGUCUGACCGAGCAACGCCGCGUGAGUGAAGAAGGUUUUCGGAUCGUAAAACUCUGUUGUUAGAGAAGAACAAGGACGUUAGUAACUGAACGUCCCCUGACGGUAUCUAACCAGAAAGCCACGGCUAACUACGUGCCAGCAGCCGCGGUAAUACGUAGGUGGCAAGCGUUGUCCGGAAUUAUUUGGCGUAAAGCGAGCGCAGGCGGUUUCUUAAGUCUGAUGUGAAAGCCCCCGGCUCAACCGGGGAGGGUCUUUGAAAACGGGGAGACGUGAGUGCAGAAGAGGAGAGUGGAAUUCCAUGUGUAGCGGUGAAAUGCGUAGAUAUAUGGAGGAACACCAGUGGCGAAGGCGGCUCUCUGGUCUGUAACUGACGCUGAGGCUCGAAAGCGUGGGGAGCAAACAGG